Molecule: ribosomal RNA, 494 nt
Filed under: uncultured bacterium
Lineage: Bacteria
Description: bacterial SSU rRNA
Rfam family: Bacterial small subunit ribosomal RNA
Source: RNAcentral
CGGCGUGCCUAACACAUGCAAGUCGAACGAAGCAUUUGAUUGGAUCGUCUUCGGAGUGAAGCUCUUAUGACUUAGUGGCGGACGGGUGAGUAACGCGUGAGUAACCUGCCUUUCAGAGGGGGAUAACAGUUGGAAACGACUGCUAAUACCGCAUAACGUNACGGGAUCGCAUGAUCCUGUUACCAAAGCUGAGGCGCUGAAAGAUGGACUCGCGUCUGAUUAGAUAGUUGGUGAGGUAACGGCUCACCAAGUCGACGAUCAGUAGCCGGACUGAGAGGUUGAACGGCCACAUUGGGACUGAGACACGGCCCAAACUCCUACGGGAGGCAGCAGUGGGGAAUAUUGCACAAUGGGGGAAACCCUGAACGAGCAAUGCCGCGUGAGUGAUGAAGGCCCUAUGGGUUGUAAAACUCUGUUGUAUGGGAAGAACGGCUAUAUUAGGAAAUGAAUAUAGAGUGACGGUACCAUACCAGAAAGCUCCGGCUAACUACGUG